CCAUGCAGUCGAGCGGUAGCACAGAGAGCUUGCUCUCGGGUGACGAGCGGCGGACGGGUGAGUAAUGUCUGGGAAACUGCCUGAUGGAGGGGGAUAACUACUGGAAACGGUAGCUAAUACCGCAUAAUGUCGCAAGACCAAAGUGGGGGACCUUCGGGCCUCAUGCCAUCAGAUGUGCCCAGAUGGGAUUAGCUAGUAGGUGGGGUAACGGCUCACCUAGGCGACGAUCCCUAGCUGGUCUGAGAGGAUGACCAGCCACACUGGAACUGAGACACGGUCCAGACUCCUACGGGAGGCAGCAGUGGGGAAUAUUGCACAAUGGGCGCAAGCCUGAUGCAGCCAUGCCGCGUGUGUGAAGAAGGCCUUCGGGUUGUAAAGCACUUUCAGCGGGGAGGAAGGCGUUAAGGUUAAUAACCUUGGCGAUUGACGUUACCCGCAGAAGAAGCACCGGCUAACUCCGUGCCAGCAGCCGCGGUAAUACGGAGGGUGCAAGCGUUAAUCGGAAUUACUGGGCGUAAAGCGCACGCAGGCGGUCUGUCAAGUCGGAUGUGAAAUCCCCGGGCUCAACCUGGGAACUGCAUUCGAAACUGGCAGGCUAGAGUCUUGUAGAGGGGGGUAGAAUUCCAGGUGUAGCGGUGAAAUGCGUAGAGAUCUGGAGGAAUACCGGUGGCGAAGGCGGCCCCCUGGACAAAGACUGACGCUCAGGUGCGAAAGCGUGGGGAGCAAACAGGAUUAGAUACCCUGGUAGUCACGCCGUAAACGAUGUCGAUUUGGAGGUUGUGCCCUUGAGGCGUGGCUUCCGGAGCUAACGCGUUAAAUCGACCGCCUGGGGAGUACGGCCGCAAGGUUAAAACUCAAAUGAAUUGACGGGGGCCCGCACAAGCGGUGGAGCAUGUGGUUUAAUGUCGAUGCAACGCGAAGAACCUUACCUGGUCUUGACAUCCACAGAACUUUCCAGAGAUGGAUUGGUGCCUUCGGGAACUGUGAGACAGGUGCUGCAUGGCUGUCGUCAGCUCGUGUUGUGAAAUGUUGGGUUAAGUCCCGCAACGAGCGCAACCCUUAUCCUUUGUUGCCAGCGGUCCGGCCGGGAACUCAAAGGAGACUGCCAGUGAUAAACUGGAGGAAGGUGGGGAUGACGUCAAGUCAUCAUGGCCCUUACGACCAGGGCUACACACGUGCUACAAUGGCAUAUACAAAGAGAAGCGACCUCGCGAGAGCAAGCGGACCUCAUAAAGUAUGUCGUAGUCCGGAUUGGAGUCUGCAACUCGACUCCAUGAAGUCGGAAUCGCUAGUAAUCGUAGAUCAGAAUGCUACGGUGAAUACGUUCCCGGGCCUUGUACACACCGCCCGUCACACCAUGGGAGUGGGUUGCAAAAGAAGUAGGUAGCUUAACCUUCGGGAGGGCGCUACCACU
Molecule: ribosomal RNA, 1414 nt
Filed under: Klebsiella sp. VH-15
Lineage: Bacteria; Pseudomonadati; Pseudomonadota; Gammaproteobacteria; Enterobacterales; Enterobacteriaceae
Description: bacterial SSU rRNA
Rfam family: Bacterial small subunit ribosomal RNA
Source: RNAcentral